Molecule: long non-coding RNA, 384 nt
Filed under: Androctonus crassicauda
Lineage: Eukaryota; Metazoa; Arthropoda; Arachnida; Scorpiones; Buthidae
Source: RNAcentral
GCAAGACCCUGUCAAGAAAAAAAAAAAAAAAAAAAAAAAAAAAAGACAAACAAAAAACCUUCUUGACUCCAGACAGGAUUCGGAUCAUGUACAGAGAAACAGCAACCAGAAUGCAACUUUCUCAGUUUCUUGAAACUUCUUUCUUGACCGUUAAAGGAAAUAUAUUAUGCUAAGGAGAAAUAGAUGAGUCUUGCAUGUAAUCCUUGCAGAGUCACAAUGGAAGGAGUCUAGUGGCUCCAUGGUCACAUGUGAAUCCCGUGUACCCUACGAGGACAAGAUUAUGGUUGCCAAAUAUGUCCCCACAGUAGAGGUUAUCUCCUGUGUCCAGCACUCUGGAGCCUGUCCUGUGUCUACCUAUCAUCUUCAUUCUGUAUUGUAUUGCGG